GGGUCAGUAGGUUGGUCGUGCCACCGGUACGUACUGGUCUCACUGAUUCCUCCUUCCUGAAGAACCUUAAUGCCAUUAAUUUGGUGUUGCGGGGAAACAGGACUGUUACUUUUAAAAAAUUAGAGUGUUUAAAGCAGGCUAACGCUUGAAUACAUUAGCAUGGAAUAAUGAAAUAGGACGAUCGAUCCUAUUUUGUUGGUUUCUAGGAUUGGCGUA
RNAcentral lists this ribosomal RNA (216 nucleotides) under Glomeromycotina sp. RNAcentral's name for it is "partial small subunit ribosomal RNA". The stretch from base 40 to 216 matches the Rfam family "Eukaryotic small subunit ribosomal RNA", at positions 686 to 864 of the family's 1831-position model. The record is from RNAcentral. Lineage: Eukaryota; Fungi; Glomeromycota.